UCAGGACGACGCUGGCGGCGUGCCUAAUACCAUGCAAGUCAACGGCUUUUCUAUGGAAGCUUGCUUCCACUGAGAAGAUAGUGGCGAACGGGUGAGUAACACGUGGGUAACCCUGCCCAUAAGAGGGGGGAUAACAUCCGGAAACGGGUGCUAAUACCGCAUAGUUUUCUUGAUCGCAUGAUCGGGAAGGAAAGACGGCCUUUGUGCUGUCGCUUAUGGAUGGACCCGCGGCGUAUUAGUUAGUUGGUGAGGUAACGGCUCACCAAGACGAUGAUACGUAGCCGACCUGAGAGGGUGAUCGGCCACAUUGGGACUGAGACACGGCCCAAACUCCUACGGGAGGCAGCAGUAGGGAAUCUUCCGCAAUGGACGAAAGUCUGACGGAGCAACGCCGCGUGAGUGAAGAAAAGGUUUUCGGAUCGUAAAACUCUGUUGUCAGAGAAGAACAAGUUGGAGAGUAACUGCUCCAGCCUUGACGGUAUCUGACCAGAAAGCCACGGCUAACUACGUGCCAGCAGCCGC
This 522-nucleotide ribosomal RNA is filed under the name uncultured bacterium. Its description in RNAcentral is "bacterial SSU rRNA". It matches the Rfam family "Bacterial small subunit ribosomal RNA", at positions 24 to 518 of the family's 1533-position model. The record is from RNAcentral.